This 6087-nucleotide long non-coding RNA is filed under the name Sus scrofa (pig). Its description in RNAcentral is "lncRNA (ENSSSCG00045020839.1)". The record is from RNAcentral. Lineage: Eukaryota; Metazoa; Chordata; Mammalia; Artiodactyla; Suidae.
UCCAGCGACAAGAGAGAACCUCCUGAGAGGUUUGGUAGAAUCUCCUUGUCAGGGGAUUCGGGUUUCGGUCCCACCCCUGAGAGGGAGUCCUCCCACACUCAAGCCCUUCCUUUUCUUCCCUCUCCCCUGGUUCUCUCCUGAGCCCGCCCUUUGCCCUAGUUUCUCCUCUUAGGGGUGGGGGUUGGGGGGAAUGGAGCUGGGCUUGCCAGUAGGGUUGUCAUAUUUAGCAGUAAAAAUACAGGAUGCUAGUUCAAAUUUAAAUUUCACAUAAACAAUACAUAAUUCUUUAGUAUAAUAUGUGUCCGAUAUCAAAUAAAAUUAAAAUAUAAAAACAUCAUUUGUUAACUGUCUGAAAUUUAACUGGGCAUCCUGUUUUUUACCUGGCAAUCCUAGGCAAAAAUAGCAUUUAUGUACCUCCUAUUUACGGUAUCCUUUCAUAGCACUCCCAGUAUGGGGAGUGUUAUAAUCCAUGUUCUGAUGAACCCCAAAGGGUCUUGCUCAAGGUUAUGCAACUAGUAAGUAACCAGGCUGGGAUACCUUAAAAGCCCAUUUCAAUUCUGCUAUCUCUCGUCAGGUGUGCAAUUCAAGGAAAGACUCAUGGAGAGCUCGUCCAAUUGUUAGAAUGAAUCUCCUUAAUAAAAGCCAAUUUAUCUUUCAGAGGGGCUAUAGAGUUGUUUUAUAUUCAGGUUCUCUGCUGUGGCAUUUACCUUAUAUUUGGGGGAAGAAACUGUAUUAAACUGUCAAGGAAUAUUGAUUUACUAUAUGAUGAUGAAAGUAUAUUUUAUAUUAUUAAAUCACAAUAGCAUAUCAUUUGACUUUGACAUCAGUGAACAAGGUUAUGUUCAUACAGUAGACCCAUACAUCUCUGUAAGCAUAGUGAUUAAGGCAGUAUAGGGUAUUCUGAAAUGAGACAUACCUCGGUUCAAAGCCUAGCUUCACGAACACUUUGAUGCAGUAGGUAAGUUACAGAAUCUCUCUGGGCCUCUGUUUGCUCUUUUUAAAAAAGAAAUAGUAAUUAUAACCACUUCGUAGGGUUGUUGUACUAAAUUCUUAUCAAGUGCCUGGAACAUUUAAAUUAAUUAAUUUUAGCUAUGAUUUGCCAUUAUACUUUGAGUAUAAUGUGGAUUUUGGCAUAAAUCAUUAGAUAAUUAAAUGUUUUAAUUUUAGUUUUAAGUUGAAAAAAGCCAGUAAUUAAGAAUAUUAUGAAUAUUGUGAAUUUCAGUGAAAUGUACUAUUCAAUAAUAAAAGAGAUAUUUUAGAUAAUAUACCAGUUUCACUAAAUCAACUAUCUGUAAGCCAAGUUAAUAGAAUAAAAUAUUUGUAUAUCAGUCUCAGUAAUUGCUCCUCAUGUAUAAUUUUAUAUGAUUUUCAUUUUCAUUGUGUUAUAAACAGGAAGAAAACUUACCAAGCACCAACGGAGAGAAAAUAACUACAGGGUGAGGGGUAAAGCCAGAAAAUAGGUCUAUGAUCAGUGGCUGUUUAUGGUGAGGUAGACUUAGUAUGUUUUAAAAACCAAAUGUCAAGCUUUGUAGGGAUUUUAUAUUUCUUUGUAUAUUGUCUUAUUUCCUUAGUGUUUACAGUGUUAACUUAGUUCACUUACAAACUAUUCUCUAAAAUUCCUCUUGGGAACUUUUUUCAGUUUUUCUCUAAAAAACUACAAAAGCUUUCUACUACCUUGAAGGGAAUGUGGAAUUGUGAAAAUUGAAAUUAACAACUAUGGACUAUUAUCCAAAUAAUUGUAAACAAGUCACUGAACACAUCUGAGCCUUGCUUUAUCUCUAAAAUCAAAACAAAUGAAAACCUACCCCACCAUCCCCAAGGUUUAUAAAUGCUACCGAUUACUGUAACUCUUAUCCACCCGAAAAAAUUCCUCCAUGGAUGAAUCCAACUAUUUGGAUUUUUUGUUCCUGCUGCAGGCUUCCCAGAAGAGCUGGAGAAACUUUCACACUGGAAAGACUUGGUACUAAAAUAAAUUCAUGGUAGUCACCUUCACCUGGACUUUCACACCGCACAGCAGGCCCACUGUGUUUCUCUAACCACUCAUUCUUCCUUUUUAUGCAAUUGCGGUUUCAAAUCCUCUUCACUUCUUUCAAGCUUCUGACAUCCUUUGAAAGCCAUUCUCACUAAGUGACCUCUGUGUUAUUGAGAAAAUUGAGUACCUGAGCUUCUGAAUUUCCUGCUGGAAAAUCUGCCCACUGACCUUCAUCUGCAUCCAUCCAGCUUUCACUGAAUCCUAGUACCUUUGCCUGUGUUCUGAAUUCUUCCUUACUAUCUCAGGGACCUUUAUCAUCAGUUAUCCCUUAUGUCACCUGGAUGGUCAGCCACUGCCUCUAAAUCCUUCCCAUCCGCAUGUAAAUAUUCAUUCCUGCAGUCCCUUCUUCAGGGAACAGUUGUCAGUUACCAUUCUUCCACCCAUCUAAUACUCGAUUUCUUCUCCCAUUUGUAAUCAGUUUUAAAGAACCGUCUGCCCUGAUGUUUCUAUUUCUUUACUUCCCAUUCUCUUGGCAACCUGUUCCCGUUGUUCUUCCAUCCUCACCCCUCUGCUGAAACUAUUCCUGCUAAGGUCCCAAUAGUUUCCUUGUCCCUCAAUCCCAUGGACUUCUGACCUGUUAGGCAACAUUUCAUACCCUAAACCAGUGUUCGGGCAAACUGUAGCAUGUGGACCAAAUAUAGCUUCAGCAUGUUCUUAUAUGGCCUUUGAACUAAAAUAUUUUCAUCUAUCUGGCUCUUUACAGAAAAAGAUUGCCAACCCCUUCUAUAGUUCACUCCCUCCUUUUAAGAAUAAAUUCUUUUGGCUCUUCCCUUAUAAGUAAGUUUUGUUUUCUUUGUACUCUUCUCUCCUUUCUUUCUCAGUCUCUCUGUGGUUACCAGACCCUUAGAUGUUGGAAUUCCUCAACACUUUAUGUUGGAAGUGGGAUCUUCUGGAUCUCAUCUACUCCCAAACUUCUACCUCACAUUUUCUUCUGAACAUCAUACAUGUGUAUUCAACUGCCUACUCAACCUCUCCACUUAAUGUGCUACAGAUAGCCCAAACUCAAUAUAUUUGAAACUGAACUCACAAUCCUGUGCUAACCCUGCCUUUCCUACAGACUGUCAUAACCCAAUAGAGUAUAAAGCUGUUGCUUAUAAAGUUAAUGUCAGAAAUCUGGGAGUCUUUGAACAUCUCUUCCUCUCCUCAUCUUGUUCCACUCACAUCUAAGUAAUCACCAAAUGCUAUUAAUUGUAUUACCUGCUUGGUUUUUAAUCUACUUCAUUCAUUCUGCCCAAUACCACCCUAAAGUCAAAAACACCAUCAUCUGGUCAAAUGCUUUAACCUAAGUAGCCUUCCUCUUUUUCUUUAAAAAAAAUUUUUUUGUAAUUGAAUAAUUCUCAUACCAUAUGGGUUACCCUAAAAUUUACAAUUUAGUAGUUCUUAGCUUAUUCAAGAUUCAAACAUUAGUGGUACAUAUCUGGUAUUUUUGCCAUAAGCAUCUUUGCUGUAGACAUUUUUGCUGCAUAGCUAAGUGGCUUUAGAGCAAUUUUGCCUUAAAACAUAAGAUAACUGGUUGACAGUUUGGUUUCAAAUGAUUGACACUUAGUUUCAUUUCUCCAUUGACACAGUUCUCCCAUUUUUAUAUUCCAUAAAUCCUAGCCCUCAUAAGGAUCGACACAAUGACAAGUAGAUAUGGUAGUAUUAAAAUAGUGGAUGAAAACUGUAUAUCAACUUGAUGGGAAAUAUGGUGAUAAAACUUACCGGAACUGUUAAAUAAGAAUGUAAAGACAGAUUGCAUACUAUACCAGAAAAUGAUAACUCACAAAGCUCAGUUAUAAUUGAGUAUUUGGAAACUGAUACCUCUUUUUUUUCCUUUUUUUGUGCUUUUCAGGGCUGCACCCACGGCGUAUGGAGGUUCCCAGGCUAGGGGUCUAAUCAGAGCUAUAGCUGCCGGCCUACACCAUAGCCACAGCAACACCAGAUACGAGCCUCGUCUGCAACCUACAUCACAGUUCAUGGCAGCGCCGGAUCCUUAACCCAAUGAGCAAGGCCAGGGAUCGAACCCGCAAUCUCAUGGUUCCUAGUCGGAUUUGUUUCUGCUGUGCCACAGUGGGUACUCCUGAUACCUCUCUUAAUGAAAGAAGAAAGUUUAGUGAAAAAGAAAAGGUGCUAUGCCGAAUGAGGAGAGACAUCAACUGCAAAAUAACAAAGUAAAAUGUAUGUGUAAAAUACAUUCUCUUACAUCAUAGUACAAUUAUCAAAAUCAAGAAAUUAAUUUUGAUGUAAUAUUAUCUAAUCUGCUGACCUUAUUAAGAUUUAGCCAGUUGUCAAACUAACGUGUAUGUGUAUUUUACAAAAAAUAAAAAUAAAAGAACAGGGAGUUCCCGUCGUGGCGCAAUGGUUAACAAAUCCGACUAGGAACCAUGAGGUUGCGGGUUCGAUCCCUGCCCUUGCUCAGUGGGUUAACGAUCCGGCGUUGCCGUGAGCUGUGGUGUAGGUUGCAGACGCGGCUCGGAUCCCGCGUUGCUGUGGCUCUGGCGUAGGCCGGCGGCUACAGCUCCGAUUCAACCCCUAGCCUGGGAACCUCCAUAUGCCGCGGGAGCGGCCCAAGAAAUAGCAACAACAACAACAACAAAAAGACAAAAAUAAAUAAAUAAAUAAAUAAAAGAACAGAACAGAAAAAAUGGGGUUUUAGUGGUCUAGAAUCUAAUUCAGUUUCACACAUUGGAUUUAGUCACCAUGUCUCUUUGGUCUGCCUCAUUCUGGAACACUUCCUCACUCUUUGUCUUUAAUAAGACUAGAUGAUGACGGGAGUUUUGGUAUUCAUGAUGCAUCAGCAAUGGAGAGCUCUACUUGAUACUCAAAACAAGAGGAGAGGAUGGUGUCACUCACUGAGCAUGCAGUUUUGGCAUUUGGAGACUAUAUGGGAGCAACUUGUCUGUGCCUGCCUUGUGUGGAAUCAGUGCUCCCAAUGAAAUGCAAAACCUGCAGGCUGAUAGAGGAGGCAGCACACAACGUCCAGGGAGAGCAUUGAUAUGUUAAAUAGAAGAUAUCUUUUCUCUAGAAGAAAGUCUCGGCAACCCACUGUUAAGUAAGACUUUUUUUCGUUUUACAAAAUGGAUCAAGAUGCUUGUUUUGGAUGAAUUCAGUAAAAAUGUUGAGCCAAAGGAUUAAAGGUCAAAUCCAUGAGAUUUACCGGAAAUCAAAUCUGGAUUCAGGCUGUAUUGUUUUCUGCCUUAAUGCUAAUCGAUAUAUUGAAAAUCAUCAAAAAGUUCCCAAGAGAUCCAUUUCAAAUUCCGGUGAAGAAGGAAGAACUGAACUUUGAAAAGGCCAAAAUGUUACAAUAAUUUUGAAAGAGGAAUUGUUCAGAGUUGAUUUGGGAGGAAAGCAAUGGCCGUAAGUGUUGAAGAAGACAAGGAGGUUCUUUGUGAUACUGAUACUUUCUACAAUACUGCAGUGGAGGAAACGCCAGUGGGUAUGACGGACCUUAUUAAAUCCUGGGAUGAAAUGGUUUUGAAUGUGAUGCUUGCUGUUGCAGUGCAGGUGAUCAUGAUGUGCACUGUGCUUCUUUUGCAGGGGGUGGGGGGGUUGCGGGAGGAAUAUUUGAAGCUUGUUUCAAUGCUCAUAACGGAUCAAAAAUAUAGAUUUUGCUGCAAAGCAACUUUAGUCAUGAGCUCUUUUGAGGAAAGUCAUUGCCUUUAUCCUCUUUAGAGUUAGAUUGUUGGUUGGGUCUAAGGGAUUGUGAACAUCUUCCUUAGCAAUUUAUUUCCUAGUUAUCUAAAUAAUAAUUAUAUUGAGUAUUUGUUAUCAUCUAAUAAUAUACUUACAGACUGAAAGAUAUGUGCCUUCAGUGUUUAAACUAGUGUAUCUGCCAUUAUUGUGUUAGUCAUCAGGCUGAGUAGAAUGAACUUUAAAAUUAUUUUUUAAGAAAAUAUUUGAAUUCAUUUUGUUUGGUAUCAUUUUUAUUCAGUAAGGCAUUUAUUUUGUUAGUGGUAAGUGUAAACUAGAGUCUUUUGCUAAGCACCAGCAACAAUCAUAUCCUAUGGUUAAAUCUCAGAAAAAUCGCUAUAUUGCAUAUUGAAUGUUCAGCAAAUUACAAUGAAGUAUAUUUUUCU